GAACAUCUGGCUGUCUUCUAUGCAUAGAAGUAGGCUACAAAGGAGAAAAGAAAAAAAGGAAUGAAGACGUCAUCACUCUGUUGAUUUGCGCACAUGUAACCAUGAUGCUGUGAGUCUGGGUUGCUUGGAGAAUGUGCUGGGUAAAGGAGCAGAGGACAGAGGGAAACUUCGAGUGCUCUAGCAUGGCACAGCUGAGUGAAAAUUACCCUUACAUCUCUGUGUGUUGGCCUGGCUGUGAAGAAGAGAAAUGCCCUUCAUUUCCCAGUGGGACAAAUGUCAACAAGCACCAUAUGGCAUGUGAGGCUGGGACUUGUCCUUUGCCUGUUCUGAGGAAACAGCUCCAACCUAUGUUACUUUUGUGUGUGUGACAUUGUCACCAAAGGCACAGCAGGCAUCCUGAGAGCAAAAUCUACCCUGCACUUCUUUGGAGAGGCAUCCAGAAGGUGGGCAGGUGCUUUUUAGUAAGUGUGGGUGAAGGAGAUUGCCUUAUGAUGCCCAUUCACUUCCUUCCUCCUCUAGCAACUGAACAGAUGUGCAGUGAGGAGUCUAUUUCUUCAUUUCAGCGAAUCUCACGGAAACUCACCCAUGUGUCUGUGGACAUUCCUUCCUUCCACAGUUCCUCCAACCUUUCCAUUGCCAUCAUCUCCAUGUACUUUGGCCAUCAGCCACUUCCUUUUCUUCCAAGCUUUUCCGUAUAACCUCUGAGCGCAGGGAAGAAUGGACACAGGUGCCCUCACCUCAUCAUGUGGAUUUCCUCCUGCUUUCUUGGAAGGAUGGAAGUCAGUCUCUGUACUUCACCUUCGGUAUUUUUUAAAAUGUGAUCCCUAUAAAAGAUUUAUAUAUUAAAAAUGUUUUGUGUGUA
Molecule: long non-coding RNA, 862 nt
Organism: Peromyscus leucopus (white-footed mouse)
Lineage: Eukaryota; Metazoa; Chordata; Mammalia; Rodentia; Cricetidae
Exons: 2
Source: RefSeq, a predicted model, not a curated record